This 406-nucleotide ribosomal RNA is filed under the name uncultured bacterium. RNAcentral's name for it is "partial 16S ribosomal RNA". It matches the Rfam family "Bacterial small subunit ribosomal RNA", at positions 30 to 526 of the family's 1533-position model. The record is from RNAcentral.
AUUGAACGCUGGCGGCAGGCUUAACACAUGCAAGUCGAACGAGUGGCGGACGGGUGAGUAAUGUCUGGGAAACUGCCUGAUGGAUGGGGAUAACUACUGGAAACGGUAGCUAAUACCGCAUACCAUCAGAUGUGCCCAGAUGGGAUUAGCUAGUAGGUGGGGUAAAGGCUCACCUAGGCGACGAUCCCUAGCUGGUCUGAGAGGAUGACCAGCCACACUGGAACGGAGACACGGUCCAGACUCCUACGGGAGGCAGCAGUGGGGAAUAUUGCACAAUGGGCGCAAGCCUGAUGCAGCCAUGCCGGGUGUAUGAAGAAGUCCUUCGGGUUGUAAAGUACUUUCAGCGAGGAGGCGUUACUCGCAGAAGAAGCACCGGCUAACUCCGUGCCAGCAGCCGCGGUAAUUC